Molecule: long non-coding RNA, 362 nt
Filed under: Rattus norvegicus (Norway rat)
Lineage: Eukaryota; Metazoa; Chordata; Mammalia; Rodentia; Muridae
Description: long non-coding RNA NONRATT020665
Source: RNAcentral
CAGCUAUUUUAUGAGAACGGGCAUUCCCAGUUGAUUGGGUUGACAAAACGAAACCAAGGAACUGUGUCUUAAAACUGACGUAUCCUGCUUAAUUGUACACAGGGGACACUACUCCAAAGCAGGAGUUGGACAAAUCUGAGUCUUUUAGGGCUGGGGACUGAACCCUGGGCCUGGAUAUGCCAGGCAACACCCUACCAACUGAACGUUCUUCCAGAAAUCCCAGGUUCCAUUCCCAGUAUCCACAUGGAAGAUUACAACCGUCUGUACCUCCAGCUCCAGGGAAUCAGACCCCUCACACAGACGCACAUGCGAGCAAAACACCAAUGCACAUAAAGUUAAAUAAAUCAUUAAAAAUAAAAGGC